RNAcentral lists this long non-coding RNA (1694 nucleotides) under Lactuca sativa (garden lettuce). Its description in RNAcentral is "long non-coding RNA (LSAT_LNC009446)". Lineage: Eukaryota; Viridiplantae; Streptophyta; Magnoliopsida; Asterales; Asteraceae. The record is from RNAcentral.
AAAUCUACAUGUAGUGCUAGUAACUCUCAAAACAUAAAGCUAUUAAACUAAAUACUAAAUUGGGAAGAAUCAUUCAUGGUUUUACUCUGAAGUUCAUAUGUAAGACACUAACAAGUCUUUUGACUUUAGUUAGAAGAAGAUAUAUACUCGUAACUUUCUUGUCCUUCCAUGAAGCAAAUGUUGAAACCUGCGGAACAUUUACAACUUAAUCAGAAACUUAUUGUAUGAUAUCAUAUACACAACACUAAAAAUGAUUUUUCUUAUUGGUUUCACAAGUUUCAUUGGAAACAUGAUGUAAUUCUUGUGCACAUGUAUAAAAUCAAUUGCACCAAACUACACAAAAUAUUGAAAAAAAUAUAAUACAGAGAGGAUGAAUAUUUAUUGUAAUAAAACCCAGCCAAAACCCAAGAACAAUCCGUGAUGAAAUCAUGAUUUCUAACAUCUGUUAUGGUUAGUUCAGGUACUGUAAAUCAUCACAAUUGAGAUCUAUAAAAUAAAUUGGAAUUAGAAAAAUUAUACAAACGAAUGAUAUCAUAUUGAUAGCUGCUAGAAAUAUAACUUGCAUCACCUUGUGAAGUGUAUAGAUUUUAUUCUCUGAUAAAUGUUUCCCAAAGCUUCCAUUGGGGUCUAUAUUAAUGUUAAAAAAUACACAUUAAUCAAUCAACAUGGUGUAUACAAGUGAAAAUAAAACAGUUGCAACCUUAACCCCUCUAAAUACAACAAGAAGAACAGUAAACAUCACAUGUAAACUGCUGGUAUGAAAAUAAAGAUUUGUAUACUAUAAUUUUCCAGGUUACAAAUUGACUUAUGGUUUGAAAACUGAAAGAUGAUGGUGCAACAACUUUAUCAGUGAUAUUGAUUCCAUAACAACAAAUGAACAUGAGUCUAUCUGUCAAUGUCAAUAUAAUAUAGUAGAAAUCGUAGAUUCACAAUUAAAAUUUCAACAUAAAAGUGAAAAAUAAUGAAACAAUCAGUCAAAGCAGUCAUAACUUGUGUUGAGUCCCAGAAGAAAGCAUGGAUAUGUAAAGUGAAGCUAAAGAACUUGAGUGUAUCAAAGUCAAUAUACUUACAAGGUUGGACUAGAAAGUCAAUGUGAAUUGAAGAUUCAAUUCUAAUCUGCCAUAUUUUUGCCCUGUAUGACACCCAGGAGGUCAAUAUAUAAACUUUUAAAUCUGUAUGAUGGAAUGACCAAAAUAUAAAGGAUAUCCACAAGAUCAUGUCAAAAACAUAAUAGUAUAUGAGAUAAAGCUCAUUAAAUUCAAAUGAUAAACUAAAUCUAAUCCAUUACCACCUCGAUACCAUCUAAUCCAUCAUCUGAUUUUGAUGGAAAAUAAUUUUUGGUUAUUAAGAAUUUUUAGAAGUUAGAAUCGGAAUGAGAGAUUCAGAAACAUAACAUAUCGAAGAUGGAGGCCGAAAGCGAAAGGGUUGACGAUGGUCGAUGGCAGCAACCGCCUAAGUUUUUGAUUUUAACAGAGAUGUAGAAAUCGUGAUGGUAAAUAUCGUCCAACAACAAAAUCGAUGACAAUUGGGGCAGCGGAAGAGUUGACGAUCGGUGAUAUCAACGACGAAAUGAUGGGGUUGACAAUGGACGAUGUUCGAUUGCAUAAGGUGAGUGUCAAUAUGGUCUUGUUCUUCUUCUGGUUUUAAGAGAAUGAGAGUUCAGUCUUGAAUGUCAGCGCCUUGCUAAAUAGUCG